UAACGCGUGGAUAACCUGCCUCACACUGGGGGAUAACAGUUAGAAAUGACUGCUAAUACCGCAUAAGCGCACAGCACCGCAUGGUACAGUGUGAAAAACUCCGGUGGUGUGAGAUGGAUCCGCGUCUGAUUAGCCAGUUGGCGGGGUAACGGCCCACCAAGCCGACGAUCAGUAGCCGACCUGAGAGGGUGACCGGCCACAUUGGGACUGAGACAUGGCCCAA
Molecule: ribosomal RNA, 223 nt
Filed under: uncultured bacterium
Lineage: Bacteria
Description: partial 16S ribosomal RNA
Rfam family: Bacterial small subunit ribosomal RNA
Source: RNAcentral